UACGUAGGGGGCUAGCGUUGUCCGGAAUCAUUGGGCGUAAAGAGCGUGUAGGCGGCCCGGUAAGUCCGCUGUGAAAGUCAAAGGCUCAACCUUUGAAUGUCAGCGGAUACUGCCGGGCUAGAGUCCGGAAGAGGCGAGUGGAACUCCUGGUGUAGCGGUGGAAUGCGCAGAUAUCAGGAGGAACACCGGUGGCGAAGGCGGGUCUCUGGGCAGUAACUGACGCUGAGGAGCGAAAGCGUGGGGAGCGAACAGG
Molecule: ribosomal RNA, 253 nt
Filed under: uncultured bacterium
Lineage: Bacteria
Description: partial 16S ribosomal RNA
Rfam family: Bacterial small subunit ribosomal RNA
Source: RNAcentral